UAUUCAGAAUAUAUCACAUCACAUCUGUGUUCUCUGAGAUUUGGAGGAGUUGUGAUAUUUUGAGAAAAAUAAAGUGAUAAUAGGCUAUUACAAGAACAAAGUCACAAUAUUUCAGAAAAUAAUCCACCUGCACCAUAGUCUGCUCUGCAUUACGUGAUUGCUCUGCUGAUGAGGUAGAUCUCAGACCUUCUGACUGACACGAGCCCCUUUUGGGUCUCUGGUCUCUGAAUGAGACAAAGUUCAGGGAAGUGGCUCCCUACAUCGG
Long non-coding RNA from Etheostoma cragini (Arkansas darter), 265 nucleotides. RefSeq lists it as uncharacterized. The transcript has 3 exons. The record is from RefSeq and is a predicted model, not a curated record. Lineage: Eukaryota; Metazoa; Chordata; Actinopteri; Perciformes; Percidae.